CCUACGGGUGGCAGCAGUGGGGAAUAUUGCACAAUGGGGGAAACCCUGAUGCAGCGACGCCGCGUGAGUGAAGAAGUAUUUCGGUACGUAAAGCUCUAUCAGCAGGGAAGAAAAUGACGGUACCUGACUAAGAAGCCCCGGCUAACGACGUGCCAGCAGCCGCGGUAAUACGUAGGGGGCAAGCGUUAUCCGGAUUUACUGGGUGUAAAGGGAGCGUAGACGGCAGCGCAAGUCUGGAGUGAAAUCCCAUGGCUUAACCAUGGAACUGCUUUGGAAACUGUGCAGCUAGAGUGCAGGAGAGGUAAGCGGAAUUCCUAGUGUAGCGGUGAAAUGCGUAGAUAUUAGGAGGAACACCAGUGGCGAAGGCGGCUUACUGGACUGUAACUGACGUUGAGGCUCGAAAGCGUGGGGAGCAAACAGGAUUAGAUACCCCAGUAGUC
RNAcentral lists this ribosomal RNA (440 nucleotides) under uncultured bacterium. RNAcentral describes it as "partial 16S ribosomal RNA". It matches the Rfam family "Bacterial small subunit ribosomal RNA", at positions 338 to 795 of the family's 1533-position model. The record is from RNAcentral.